This is a long non-coding RNA of Anolis carolinensis (green anole), 1280 nucleotides long. RefSeq lists it as uncharacterized. Lineage: Eukaryota; Metazoa; Chordata; Lepidosauria; Squamata; Anolidae. The record is from RefSeq and is a predicted model, not a curated record. The transcript has 5 exons.
GGCUGAGUGGAGGUCCCUCUUGGCUUGGAUGAGAGAUGGGUGAGUGAGUAAAAGGGGUGGAGAGACAGUGGCAGAAUUGAUGGCUCGGAAAGACCCCUUGCGAUGAAUAAAUAAAGCGUCUCCAGCUUGGCUGGUGUUGCAACAUUUCAGAACCAUAAAUGCUCAUGACUGCAUCAAAAGAAAGUUACAAGGAGAAACUAAUAAUUAUUGUUGAGAAAAAACAGUUCUAUCAGAGAAUGCAAAAAGACACCGGAAUAAAGGAUUCUUCAGAUCAAGCUUACAUCCUUUCCAGCUUCAACUGAGGUCCAUGAGACAUUCUUCCACUUGAGUGUGUAUAACGUUACAACUUCUGCUUUCUGCUAUCGAAAGAACACGAGUUGGAGGAAGACAACUGUUCGCGUUUUUUAAAUAUGCAUUUCUGGUGUCGGGAAGGCGAAGACCUGCUCUAAGAGCAGAGAUUGAAUCCUUCAAUCCUUCCAGGUUUUGUGGACUGCAAAAAGUUCUCGUCCUUGUCUAUUGCUUGCUGGGGCUGCUGGGAGAUUUAGUCCAACAACAUCUAGAAAGACCCCUCCUCUCAACCCAGCCUCCUCCCAAAGGUGUUGUUUCAUUUACACAGAUACCCGUGAAGGCAAGCCAAAGGAAUGGAAGGGAAAAAAGCGUCUGUAUGCUCGUCUUUUAGAGGAUCUUUUAUUUUCUUUCUCGAAAUUCACGCAAACCCACCAGCCUUUUAAAGAAGGAAAUUACUCUGCUUCUUCCAAAACAGCAUCAAUCCUAAAUCAUCAACUCGUUGAAAUAAAAACUACCGCCUCAUCAAGAAUGUGAAAGUUUCUGGUUUCCCUUGAGUUAUGAGCAUUGAACUUUAUUUCCUUUCAUUAGGAUUAUUAAAUUAGGCCGGGCUGAUAAAGUCAGUGGGAUAAAUGUUGAUGUAUUGUCAGGUAUUAGUUUGUGGAUCUGCUCCUCCAACUUCUAACUUAUGAAUUUCUCUUUGCCUGUUGGGUUAUCUAGCAAUUUUAGGGGUUUUGCAUGUGAUGUGGGAAAUGGGAGUAUAUUUCCUGGGGACAUACAGGAAGUGACAUAUGCCUUUAGAAUUUGGGGCAUAAAAUGGAAGACUUUCUUUUGUUUUCUCUCUUUGCUCCUCUUCUUGAUCCUGCCAUGCCUGGUGUUACUUCUUGUUAAGAGAUAUCUAGUAUCCUGAACUGUAUUCUUUUGCAACUAAGAUGUUUUUACCUGUAUAACCAUCAUCGUACAAGAUUGUGAGUAAACAUAUUUUUACUAUUUUA